RNAcentral lists this ribosomal RNA (1495 nucleotides) under uncultured bacterium. RNAcentral describes it as "16S ribosomal RNA". It matches the Rfam family "Bacterial small subunit ribosomal RNA". The record is from RNAcentral.
AGAGUUUGAUCCUGGCUCAGGAUGAACGCUAGCGGCAGGCUUAACACAUGCAAGUCGAGGGGCAGCGGGGAGGAAGCUUGCUUUCUCCGCCGGCGACCGGCGCACGGGUGAGUAACACGUAUGCAACCUGCCCCUGUCAGGGGGACAACCCGCCGAAAGGCGGGCUAAACCCGCGUACAUGCCACCGGGGCAUCCCGGAGGCAGGAAAGGCUUCGGCCGGACAGGGAUGGGCAUGCGGCGCAUUAGGCAGUAGGCGGGGUAACGGCCCACCUAACCGACGAUGCGUAGGGGUUCUGAGAGGAAGGUCCCCCACACUGGUACUGAGACACGGACCAGACUCCUACGGGAGGCAGCAGUGAGGAAUAUUGGUCAAUGGUCGGGAGACUGAACCAGCCAAGCCGCGUGAGGGAUGAAGGUACAGAGUAUCGUAAACCUCUUUUGUCAGGGAACAAAGGCGGGGACGUGUCCCCGGAUGAGUGUACCUGAAGAAAAAGCAUCGGCUAACUCCGUGCCAGCAGCCGCGGUAAUACGGAGGAUGCGAGCGUUAUCCGGAUUUAUUGGGUUUAAAGGGUGCGCAGGCGGUCUGUUAAGUCAGCGGUCAAAGCCCGGGGCUCAACCCCGGCCCGCCGUUGAAACUGGCAGUCUCGAGUUGGAGAGAAGUAUGCGGAAUGCGCGGUGUAGCGGUGAAAUGCAUAGAUAUCGCGCAGAACUCCGAUUGCGAAGGCAGCAUGCCGGCUCCACACUGACGCUGAGGCACGAAAGCGUGGGUAUCGAACAGGAUUAGAUACCCUGGUAGUCCACGCAGUAAACGAUGAAUGCUGGCUGUCCGGGGGGACUGACCCCUGGGUGGCGAAGCGAAAGCGAUAAGCAUUCCACCUGGGGAGUACGCCGGCAACGGUGAAACUCAAAGGAAUUGACGGGGGCCCGCACAAGCGGAGGAACAUGUGGUUUAAUUCGAUGAUACGCGAGGAACCUUACCCGGGCUCAAACGGGGAGUGACUCAGGCAGAGACGCCUGUUUCCCACGGGACACUCCCCGAGGUGCUGCAUGGUUGUCGUCAGCUCGUGCCGUGAGGUGUCGGCUUAAGUGCCAUAACGAGCGCAACCCCCGCGUGCAGUUGCUAACAGUCAACGCUGAGGACUCUGCACGGACUGCCGGCGCAAGCCGCGAGGAAGGCGGGGAUGACGUCAAAUCAGCACGGCCCUUACGUCCGGGGCGACACACGUGUUACAAUGGGUGGUACAGCGGGAAGCCAGGCGGCGACGCCGAGCGGAACCCGAAAUCCACUCUCAGUUCGGAUCGGAGUCUGCAACCCGACUCCGUGAAGCUGGAUUCGCUAGUAAUCGCGCAUCAGCCAUGGCGCGGUGAAUACGUUCCCGGGUCUUGUACACACCGCCCGUCAAGCCAUGGGAGCCGAGGGCGCUUGAAGUGCGUCGCCGCGAGGCGCGCCCUAGAGCGAAAUCGGUGACUGGGGCUAAGUCGUAACAAGGUAACC